UACGUAGGGGGCAAGCGUUGUCCGGAUUUAUUGGGCGUAAAGAGCGUGUAGGCGGCCAUGCAGGUCCGUUGUGAAAACUCGAGGCUCAACCUCGAGACGCCGGUGGAAACCGUAUGGCUAGAGUCCGGAAGAGGAGAGUGGAAUUCCUGGUGUAGCGGUGAAAUGCGCAGAUAUCAGGAAGAACACCAGUGGCGAAGGCGGCUGUCUGGUCCGGUUCUGACGCUGAGGCGCGAAAGCGUGGGGAGCAAACAGG
Molecule: ribosomal RNA, 253 nt
Filed under: uncultured bacterium
Lineage: Bacteria
Description: partial 16S ribosomal RNA
Rfam family: Bacterial small subunit ribosomal RNA
Source: RNAcentral